CUCCACGCUGGGGGCAGACGUGACUAACAGAUCACAGCACCCUUUCCUACGGAGGCUGGAGGCAGCCUCCAACCCCUUUUCAACCCAGCCCUCUGGGCGCCAGCUCAGAUUUAGCACUGGGGAUGAAGCCUCUCUUCCAGCCCUGCAGCGGCCACCUGCGAACCCUCCAGGCCCUCUCCAUGGGGUACCGGGAGGAUCGUCUACCUUAUUGAAACCAUCUAAUUGGAGAUCUACAGAUUAGGCUACCAAGACACAGCUGCGUCUAGCAGAAUUUAUGUAGUGGACAAUUUUAGGUGCACUUUGGGGAGAGCAAGCAUGAGGCCUGCAGCUGACGGCUUUGAGUGGCUGAGAACAUGACUAUGGAAAAGGAUCAAAUAUCCCACAGCCCCCAGGAGCGACCACGUGAGGCUGCAUAAUGGCCAUCUCUGUGUCUGCAGUGAUGUCUG
RNAcentral lists this small RNA (446 nucleotides) under Pongo abelii (Sumatran orangutan). Its description in RNAcentral is "processed transcript". Lineage: Eukaryota; Metazoa; Chordata; Mammalia; Primates; Hominidae. The record is from RNAcentral.